UAAUUCUUUUCUCCUUCUUCUCUCUUCUCUCUCUCUUCACUCUCUCUACGUCACCCCAGCUCUGCCCACCGCCGCCGGCGGACCGCCUCCAAACACCUCCAAAUUCACACCAUGUAAUCUCCACAACUUCCUCCUUCCAUAUCUCCAAACCAAAUCCUUCAAAAAUCCCUCAAACUCCUUGAAUCUUAGAUCUAGGAAACUUUUCCGUCACUUUUUUGCCCAAAUUCUUGAAGCUCCAACCACUACCAGCCCACAAUACUUACAUCAAUGGAUAGAGCUCCUCAAGACCUAGUUAUUGAUGCCAAUUUCACCAUGAAAAUCCGGCGAUCAAAAUCCGACGACCUCUCCGAACACCCUCUUUUGGCAUACCACCAUUUUUUCGGCCACUUGAAUUAUAAAAUGGUAAAAAUCCUAUUAUUUUUCGUGGCUGAUUUUUUAUUUUAUUUUUAUUUUUCAGAUUUUAUUUUUGUCUAUUAUUAAUUAUUUUAGCAUUAGUUUUUGAAGUUUGAAAUGUCAAAUUUUCUAUUUUUGCACUUGUUGAAGUAGUAAAAUAGUUUUGUGUUGAUAAAAGUGAGGUAGUGAAAAAUACUUAAGAGUAUAUGGUACUUGUUUGAUUGUUUAUUUACUACUUCAAGACUCUUUGAGUACAACACUCAAGUCAAAUUGUUUGGUAAGAAAAUAUAGACCUUUGGACAGUGUUUGAAUAAAAGUUUGUCUUCGAAUAGUGGAGAGCAGAUUUUGUUUGAAAUACUUGACAAGAUUUGAACCAGAAAGUCUGGCAUUUUGAAUUUAAGAGCAGAUUUUGUAGAAAUAUCUGUCAAAAAGAUUGAUUUUUAAUUUUUUUGAAAUAACUGAUUGUUUUGAUAUAAAAGGAGGACACUCCAUCUUAAUGAGAGAGCUCUAGACACACAAAAAAGAGAAAAAAUCAGUAGCUACAAUAUCCCUUAGCAGGUUUUGUGAGUUGAUUCUUAAGUGAAAAACUUGUUUAAGGAAAAUAGAGUAGUCUUGAAAGAUUUUUCUGGAGUUACAUAAUUGUACUGUUUUGCUGGGGUAUUUCUAGUUUAUUUUCUUGGGUUUGAAUCUGCCGGUUGUCGCUGUCUUUUGCUGUUGUUGCUGCCCGUUUAAUUGUUUUGCUGUUGAUUUUGGAAAGAGCUGACUCUGCUGUAUUUGUUCUUCUUUCUGCUGUCCAUGUAAUUUU
Molecule: long non-coding RNA, 1198 nt
Filed under: Nicotiana tabacum (common tobacco)
Lineage: Eukaryota; Viridiplantae; Streptophyta; Magnoliopsida; Solanales; Solanaceae
Description: long non-coding RNA (NTAB_LNC002492)
Source: RNAcentral